This 427-nucleotide ribosomal RNA is filed under the name uncultured bacterium. RNAcentral's name for it is "bacterial SSU rRNA". It matches the Rfam family "Bacterial small subunit ribosomal RNA", at positions 355 to 774 of the family's 1533-position model. The record is from RNAcentral.
UGGGGAAUUUUGGACAAUGGGCGCAAGCCUGAUCCAGCCAUGCCGCGUGAGUGAAGAAGGCCUUCGGGUUGUAAAGCUCUUUUGUCCGGAAAGAAAAGCUUCGGGUUAAUACCCCGGGGUUCUGACGGUACCGGAAGAAUAAGCACCGGCUAACUUCGUGCCAGCAGCCGCGGUAAUACGAAGGGUGCAAGCGUUACUCGGAAUUACUGGGCGUAAAGCGUGCGUAGGUGGUUGUUUAAGUCUGAUGUGAAAGCCCUGGGCUCAACCUGGGAAUGGCAUUGGGAACUGGGCUGCUAGAGUGCGGUAGAGGGUAGUGGAAUUCCCGGUGUAGCAGUGAAAUGCGUAGAGAUCGGGAGGAACAUCUGUGGCGAAGGCGACUGCCUGGACCAGCACUGACACUGAGGCACGAAAGCGUGGGGAGCAAACA